GACGAACGCUGGCGGCGUGCUUAACACAUGCAAGUCGAACGGUAAGGCCCUUCGGGGUACACGAGUGGCGAACGGGUGAGUAACACGUGGGUGAUCUGCCCUGCACUUCGGGAUAAGCCUGGGAAACUGGGUCUAAUACCGGAUAGGACCACUGCCUGCAUGGGUGGCGGUGGAAAGCUUUUGCGGUGUGGGAUGGGCCCGCGGCCUAUCAGCUUGUUGGUGGGGUGAUGGCGUACCAAGGCGACGACGGGUAGCCGGCCUGAGAGGGUGACCGGCCACACUGGGACUGAGAUACGGCCCAGACUCCUACGGGAGGCAGCAGUGGGGAAUAUUGCACAAUGGGCGCAAGCCUGAUGCAGCGACGCCGCGUGAGGGAUGACGGCCUUCGGGUUGUAAACCUCUUUCAGCACCGACGAAGCGCAAGUGACGGUAGGUGCAGAAGAAGGACCGGCCAACUACGUGCCAGCCGCCGCAGUAA
This 478-nucleotide ribosomal RNA is filed under the name uncultured bacterium. RNAcentral describes it as "partial 16S ribosomal RNA". It matches the Rfam family "Bacterial small subunit ribosomal RNA", at positions 28 to 523 of the family's 1533-position model. The record is from RNAcentral.